Molecule: non-coding RNA, 205 nt
Organism: Biomphalaria pfeifferi
Lineage: Eukaryota; Metazoa; Mollusca; Gastropoda; Planorbidae
Source: the annotation of a GenBank genome assembly
GGGGGGGGGGGGGGUAGAAGGCCAAGUGGUCUAAGUCUCUCAACAGCACAUACCACACCAACACACACACUUACACACACACAUACACACAUAUACAUGUGUACAAAAUGACAUGCUCAGAUAUAUUAUUUUCAUUUUUUACUCGUCUGUUAUUAAUUAUACUUCCUCGUGUUCUUAUUUCAAUGUGUUACAUUUGGAAAUUUCU